This 23-nucleotide unclassified non-coding RNA is filed under the name Mus musculus (house mouse). RNAcentral describes it as "oocyte_clustered_small_RNA2779". Lineage: Eukaryota; Metazoa; Chordata; Mammalia; Rodentia; Muridae. The record is from RNAcentral.
AGUGCAACGCUGUAGCCAUGCAG